UGGCCGCCCCUUCACCAAGAAGUUCCGCAGUGCCGGCCAUGGCCGUGACAGUGACAAGCGGCCGUCCCUGGGGCUGGCACCCGGGGGCCUGGCCGUGGUCGGCCGCAGUGCUGGAGGGGAGCCAGGGCCCGAGGCUGGCCGGGCAGCCGACGGUGGUGAGCGGCCUCUGGCAGCCAGCCCGCCAGGCACCGUGAAGGCUGAGGAGCACCAGCGGCAGAACAUCAACAAAUUUGAACGCCGACAAGCCCGCCCUCCAGAUGCCUCCGCAGCCCGGGGAGGCGAGGACACCAAUGACCUACAGCAGAAGCUGGAGGAGGUGCGGCAACCCCCACCCCGAGUCCGGCCAGUCCCCUCCCUGGUGCCCCGGCCCCCCCAGACAUCACUUGUCAAGUUCGUGGGCAACAUCUACACCCUCAAAUGCAGGUAGGCUGCCCCUGGGGGAGGGAGGGAGACCACCUGAGUGGACCUUGGUCACCCGGAGCCUUGGAACAGGAUAGGGUUUGGUGGAAGCUGGGAGGUGUCGCCUCAGUGGCUGCCCUUGGGUGU
This 546-nucleotide small RNA is filed under the name Pan troglodytes (chimpanzee). RNAcentral describes it as "retained intron". The record is from RNAcentral. Lineage: Eukaryota; Metazoa; Chordata; Mammalia; Primates; Hominidae.